RNAcentral lists this ribosomal RNA (711 nucleotides) under Triticum aestivum (bread wheat). RNAcentral describes it as "partial small subunit ribosomal RNA". The record is from RNAcentral. Lineage: Eukaryota; Viridiplantae; Streptophyta; Magnoliopsida; Poales; Poaceae.
AUGCGCGCAAUGCCGCCGCCGAACUGGCCGUUCAAGGGCCACUCCAUGUCAUCCCCGGUGGACCUGAUCGUGUUCCACCUCCUGGAGCUGGACCUCCCCGCGGACGACUCCGACGACCGGCGCCAAGGCCCGCUCCGGCACCGGUGGAACCGGAAGCUCCUCUUCCACCUCACGCAAGAAAUCCUCCCCGUCCUUCUCCACCUCGACGACAACGGCGCCUCCUACAGAACCAGACUCCACGGGCCGGCGCUGCUAUCGAAGGUGUGGAGCACGGUGAAGGCAUUCCCGGCGGCGGACUGCAGGGUGGUGGGCGACAUCGACGCGCUGGUGGCACUGGACCUACAUGUCACCCAAUUUUGUUGUCUUUGGGGAAUAGAUGAUGACACAUGGACACCAUUCGGUGGCAGUUUGAUGUUUUUCAGGAAUGAAUUCCACCCGUUAUUCAAUACUACUAUGAGAAAAGUAGGGAAAUGCUCACCCUCUGCUAAAUGUACUGGUUCGUCUCGCGGUCUCACCCCCAAAAACAGAGGAGAGGAGAAGGGAGCUCCUCCCUCACACUCGUCGGCUCCAAGGAGCCCCGCCGCCAUGCAUGGUGGAGAGGAGCAGGGAGCUCCGCCGCCACGCAAACCAAGUCUGCAACGUUUGAAUAUUAUACUCAGUCAGUUGCUCGACUACUUACAGUCCUAUUACUUGAGACUUAUACUUGGUUAG